UGGGUGAUCUGCCCUGCACUUUGGGAUAAGCCUGGGAAACUGGGUCUAAUACCGGAUAACACUCUGUCCCGCAUGGGACGGGGUUAAAAGCUCCGGCGGUGAAGGAUGAGCCCGCGGCCUAUCAGCUUGUUGGUGGGUAAUGGCCUACCAAGGCGACGACGGGUAGCCGGCCUGAGAGGGCGACCGGCCACACUGGGACUGAGACACGGCCCAGACUCCGUACGGGAGGCA
Molecule: ribosomal RNA, 231 nt
Filed under: uncultured bacterium
Lineage: Bacteria
Description: partial 16S ribosomal RNA
Rfam family: Bacterial small subunit ribosomal RNA
Source: RNAcentral